AACGAACGCUGGCGGCAUGCCUAACACAUGCAAGUCGAACGAGACCUUCGGGUCUAGUGGCGAACGGGUGCGUAACGCGUGGGAACCUGCCCUUAGGUUCGGAAUAACUCCCCGAAAGGGGUGCUAAUACCGGAUAAUGUCUUCGGCCCAAAUGUUUAUCGCCUUUGGAUGGGCCCGCGUUGGAUUAGCUAGUUGGUAGGGUAAAAGCCUACCAAGGCGACGAUCCAUAGCUGGUCUGAGAGGAUGAUCAGCCACACUGGGACUGAGACACGGCGCAGACUCCUACGGGAGGCAGCAGUGGGGAAUAUUGGACAAUGGGCGAAAGCCUGAUCCAGCAAUGCCGCGUGAGUGAUGAAGGCCUUAGGGUUGUAAAGCUCUUUUACCCGGGAUGAUAAUGACAGUACCGGGAGAAUAAGCUCCGGCUAACUCCGUG
Molecule: ribosomal RNA, 433 nt
Filed under: uncultured bacterium
Lineage: Bacteria
Description: partial 16S ribosomal RNA
Rfam family: Bacterial small subunit ribosomal RNA
Source: RNAcentral